AGAUGAAGAGUCCCAAACAGGACGAAACAGCUGUCCGGUGU
Molecule: non-coding RNA, 41 nt
Filed under: Echinostoma caproni
Lineage: Eukaryota; Metazoa; Platyhelminthes; Trematoda; Plagiorchiida; Echinostomatidae
Source: RNAcentral